Long non-coding RNA from Papio anubis (olive baboon), 2698 nucleotides. The record is from Ensembl. Lineage: Eukaryota; Metazoa; Chordata; Mammalia; Primates; Cercopithecidae.
GGACUUUUUGAGGCUGAGUUUUAAGAGAUGUAUAUGAUAUCCCCUAUAAGGUGACACUGUACGACACGCAAUGAAGGAGGUAGCUGUGUGUCCGCAGUUGGUUCCUGCCGGUGGGUUCAUGGUCUUGCUGACUUCAAGAAUGAAGCCGUGGACCUUCGCGAUGAGUGUCACAGCUCUUAAAGAAUGUGGAAAUAUAAAUCUGCUCUGUAUAAGACUGGAUUCAGUUUACAAAAAUAAGCCUGAAACCUUUGGACUCAGGGGGCCCAGGUGGAGAGAUUCUUUCUGUUCGUUAUCUGUCCUCCUGCCUCCAGCCUGUGCCAUAGACUCCAAAUGGAUAAAAGCUCUGUAUAGAGAGGUUGUAUUACCAUGAAGUACAAUAUAUGUCAGAUUUGGGUAGAAGUGAACACAGUGGAGGAUAAUAAAGAGAGAGCUGAGUUCUGUCUCAGUGAGCACAACAAAAGUCAGAUGAACUCGUCCGAGGGCAGAAGUGGACCCCAAAGGCUUGUUCCUGCGGACUUUGCUGGUUGACUGCUCUUUGCAUUAAUCUGGAAUCAUGGCGCACCAUUCCUCUUUUCAUGUUGUGAUAUUCUCUUCACGUUCUCUUCCUUGCUCCUCAAUGCCACAUGUGUGAAUUUUCAGAAACAAAAUACUAGGAAUUUAAAGUGAGAAUACUGUAGCAACCUGUGAGAUGCACAGAAAAUCAUAAACUGUUGAAAAACUGGGAUUGGGAUUGAUUGCUGGAGGCAUAAAUUUUGUGUGUACAUCCAAAAAAUAAUGCCAUGCUCUGAGACUUAGAAUAUAGUCAUGUUGUGUGAAUUUAUGAAUUAUAUUGAGUAGAAAAUAUAUAUAUAGUCAUUUGACAUUAAGAGACAAUGAAUACAUAAGUGUUGACCAGCCUGGCCAACACAGUGAAACCCGUCUCUACCAAAAAUACAAGAAUUGGCCAGGCGUGGUGGUGGGUGCCUAUAAGCCCAGCUACUCGGGAGGUUGAGGUGGGAGAAUCUCUUGAACCCAGAGGCAGAGGUUGCAGUGAGCCGAGAUCACACCACUGCACUCCAGCCUGGGCGACAGAGCAAGACUCCAUCUCAAACAAACAAACAAACAAGCAAAAAACACAUAAAUAAAUAGUCAUAAAAGCAACAAAAAAGUGACAAUAAAAUGACACUGUUAACUGGAGCUAUUUGUAUAUGUGUUGUUGUUGUUGUUUUCCAUUUAUUGUACUUCUCUCUCUCCCUUUAAAAAAAGGUUAAAAAAAGAGAAAGGUUGAAAGAUUAUGGCCCUGCCAGACGUGGUGGCUCACACCUAUAAUCCCAGCAAUUUUGGAGGCAGAGAUGGUAGAAUCACUUGAGCGCAGGAGUUCAAGAUCAACCUGAGCAACAUAGCAAAACCUCGUCUCAGGCCAUCUGCAGUGGCUCACGCCUGUAAUCCCACCACUUUGGGAGGCCGAGGUGGGUGGAUCACUUGAGGUCAAGAAUUUGAGACCAGCCUGCUCAACAUGACAAAACCCCAUCUCUACUAAAAAUACAAAAAUUAGCCAGGUGUAGUGGCAGGCGCCUGUAAUCCCAGCUACUUGAAGGCUGAGGCAGGAGGAUCCCUUGAACCCGGGAGACAGAGGUUUCAGUGAGUCGAGAUCACGCCACUGCACUCCAACUUGGGCGACAGAGCGACAUUCCAUCUCCAAACACAAAAAAACAAAAGCACGACAACAAUAAGCUUUUGGUUUUUUCAGGAAUAAGCCAUAAAAAUUGAUCAUUCAACUGAAGGUUUUGGGUUUUUCUUUUUGAAGGAAAUCUAUUAAAGCUCUCUAAACAUGAGAAAAAUGCUCAAUAGAAAACGGAAGUGGCAGGGCACAGUGACUCUGUAAUCCCAUCACUUUGUGAGGCUGAGGCCGGCAGAUUACUUGAGGCCAGGAAUUCAAGACCAGCCUGGCCAACAUGGUGAAACCCCAUCUCUACUAAAAAUACAAUAAUUAGCCAGGCAUGGUGGCACAUGCCCAUAAUCCCAGCUACUCAGGAGGCUGAGGCAGGAAAAUCAUUUGAACCCUGAUGGCAGGUGUUGCAGUGAGCCAAGAUGGCACCAUUGCACUCCAGCCUGGGUGACAGAGCGAGACUCCCGUCUCAAGAAAAGAAAAAGAAAAAAAAAAAAAAGGAAGGGAAAAACAAAGGAAGAAAGAGAGAGAGAAAGAAAAUGGAAGUAUUGAUAGACAAAGUAGCAUCUCUGACUGAAAAGAAUAUUAAGUAACUUAGAGAAGAAAGUGGCUGCUUUAAAAAAAAAUUUUUUUGUUUUGACUCGUAUGUUGGGUGUGUUGGCUCAUGCCUGUAAUCCCAGAGCUUUGGGAGGCCGAGGCAGGAGAAUCACUUGAGCACAGGAGUUCAAGACCAGCCUGGGCAACAUAGUGAGAUCCCCUAUCUACAAGAAAGAAAGAAAGAGAAAGAAUUAGAAAGAAAUGCUGUGGGUUUAUUUUUUCCUUGUGUUCAUGUAUACAUUAUCAUCAUUAAGACUGCAAAUUGUUUUUGCUCUCUAUGCAGGAUCUAAAAAAAUUUUUAUUGCAAAUUGUAUUGGAGUGGGGUCAGAGUGAAGGAAAGCAAAAGCACUAGGAGAGCUGUCAAUAAAUGCACAGAUGUUAUCAAAAUGUGAAUUACUUGUAGGCAAUGUUGACUCAUUUUUUCAGAACAGUUGCCUUUUGGAGUACAUAUUA